RNAcentral lists this ribosomal RNA (253 nucleotides) under uncultured bacterium. RNAcentral describes it as "partial 16S ribosomal RNA". It matches the Rfam family "Bacterial small subunit ribosomal RNA", at positions 524 to 776 of the family's 1533-position model. The record is from RNAcentral.
UACGUAGGGUGCAAGCGUUGUCCGGAAUUAUUGGGCGUAAAGGGCUCGUAGGCGGUUUGUCGCGUCGGGAGUGAAAACCUCGGGCUUAACUCGGGGCUUGCUUUCGAUACGGGCAGACUAGAGGUAUGCAGGGGAGAACGGAAUUCCUGGUGUAGCGGUGAAAUGCGCAGAUAUCAGGAAGAACACCAAUGGCGAAAGCAGCUUUCUGGGACGGUACUGACGCUGAGACGCGAAAGCGUGGGGAGCGAACAGG